This 2710-nucleotide long non-coding RNA is filed under the name Canis lupus familiaris (dog). Its description in RNAcentral is "lncRNA (ENSCAFG00845026434.1)". Lineage: Eukaryota; Metazoa; Chordata; Mammalia; Carnivora; Canidae. The record is from RNAcentral.
UUUUUUUUUUUUUUUAAGAUUUUAUUUAUUUGAGAGAGCAGGAGCAGGGAGGAGAGACAGAAGCAGACUCCCCACUGAGCAGGGAGCCUGAUGCGGGGCUGGAUCUCAGGACUCCAGGAUCAUGACCUUUGAAGGCAGACGCUCAACCCACUGAGCCAUACAGGCGCCCUGACAUCAUACUAUUUUUAGUUAAUAUGUAUCAUUAUAAGUUCUCCAUUAUUCUUUAUGUAAACAUCUCUUGGCUCUUAUUUAUUCUAUAAAAAUGAAAUUUAGAAUCACUGACCUAUGAAAAAUUCUGAGAUUUUGAUUAGAAUUACAUUAAAUAUACAAAUAUGAAGACAUGGGAAAUAAUUAAUAAACUGCCUUGCUAUCUAGAAUCACUGGGUCUCUGCAUCUUCAGAAUGGAGUUUAAGAGUUUCCUGCCCAUGGGCCAUUCACAUUUCUUACAGAGUUUAAUCCUCAGCAUAAAUUUUUAUUGCUACUAGGAAUGGACUCUUUGUUUUUUAAUUUUUGAACUAUUACUACUAUGUAAACCAUGAUAUUUACAUUACAGUGGAAUUUUACUACAUUAGUUUAAGUAUUCUGGGCAUUUUUAUUAUCUGCAAAUAAUUUUGUUCUUGCCAAUAGUUCUCUCUCUUUUUCUGUUCUUAAUACAGUGGCUGGAUAUUUCAUAGUUAAUUUAGAUAAGUAGUGAUGACAGCAAGUAUGAUGCUAAUUCUAAUAGGAGAUAAAAUUCUAGGGUUUCACCAUUAUUAGUAUUUUGGUUAUCGACAGCUUGAUUCCUAAUUUGUGGACACUUCCCAUAAAAUAUUUAUAGUAAAGAUCUUUAAACAGUGAGAUAAUAGGUGAUUAUAUUUUCCUUCAAAUUUUGUUGAUUUAUAUUUUCUAAAAAAAUUAUCCAUUUGAUUAAGAGUCUCAUACAUAUGUAGAAAAGUGUCUACAAAAGUAUUACCAUUUGUAUCUACAGAAGUUAUAUCCAAUAACUGCUAAUUUUGUCUUUUAUGUAUAUUGUUAGACUAGACACAAACUCUUCCAAUUUGUUUUCCAAGUUUCCUAAAAUGAAUGGACACAUACCUUUAUCUCCUUAUUUCUCUUAAUAUUUCUUGUUUAAGUAGAAAUGUUUUUAACUCCAAAUUACCUUGAUUAGUAAUCAGUAUCUUGCAGAAAGCAAGAGUGAAGCAAACCCUAAAAGUUUUGUUAUUAGAAACAACAUUCUACUGUCCUUUGUGAAAGAGAGCAUAAUCUAAAAAUAAUGCCGAUAUAAAUUUCUCAAAGUAAACUUACUCUAAUUUAAAUGAUACCUCAUCCUUUUUACUUAAAUACAUUCAUUUAAGUAAAAGAUGCCAUAAAAUAAAUAUAUUAACAAUUUGAUAUUAGGAAAAUCCUAACAUUCCCAAAUCAGAGUUCCAUGUAAAUCAGAUUCCAAUACUCAUAGUAUAAAAACUUGCAUGUUAACAAAUGUGUAUGGCAAUGUGUUCAAAUCCUUAUCAAAUUCCUUUUUUUCAUAUUUUAUUAAGUAACCAUUAGACUGAACCUAUCUUUUCAUCUGAAAUAGUUAAUUUGAGAUACAUUAUCAGAAAAUGCCAGUUUCAAAUAUAAACAGCUAACUUUUCAUUUUUACUCUACCAGGGAAAUUUCAAAGUGCUAAAAAAUACAAGCUGCUACUCAUCUGCUAAAAACAGAAAUGAAAUAAUUAGAUCACGAUGACUCCUUUCUCAGAGGGGAAAAAAAAAAAAGAUGAAUGCAACUGGAAUGUUUAUUGUCACUGAAAUUCUUCAGGCCUGGAUUCCAAGUAUGGGUUUGAUGCAGGUUACUAUGACAACUUAAAUUACAGAAACUGUCCCCUCUUCUACUAAGUUUUUUUGCCAAGAGAUCAUUUCGAGUCUCCUAAAAUCUGUGUGCAUGAAUUACCUAUAAUAACAAAUAUUUCUUUGUAAGUUUUAUUUAGAAAUGCUCCCAUCUAAACCAUUAAAACUAAGCAUAAACAUAUAAGAAACAAAUCCCACAAAUCUACAUGGGGCAGAAAACCUAACCUGAAAACACGAACAUACACACACACACAGCUUAAAAUAUAAAAUGUUGAGAGUAUUUUGAAACUACUUCCCACUACCUGAAGCACAAGAUACAACCAUCAUAAGCUUCAUUACAGAAACUAUGGGAAAUUACUUACAAGGCAGUUUGGAAAAAAGAUUAUAGAGCUUAGUCCUGUUUAUCAUUUUUUCCCCUCUAUUAAAUGCCUCUUACAGGAAGGCACCAGAAAACGGGGAUGGGAGAAGAAUGCAGUCCUAUUGUGAAUAGAAGUAAAUAAAUAAUAUGUAAAAUCUUAUUUUGUUUUAUGUAAUUUUUUUUACAUAAAAUGGAGCUUGAAAGUUCCCACAUAGCCUCAAAUUUACAAACAUAAAAAAAAGAUGCCUUGUAAUAAGUAAAAUGUGAAUUAUUCUCUAUCAUUCCCUAAAAGAAUAAUGGCUCAGGAAAAACUGCAUCAUUGUGGAGAAAUUUAGUAGAAAUAUUCUGAUUGUAAGACAUUAAACACUUAAAGUUGCUUCAUAAAAAAAAAAUAAUAAAAUUAAGGUACUUUCACAGUGUAGCAAUACUGAGAAUUCAAAGCUAGUUUUGUUGCAUCAAAGUUAACAUGCCUAAAAUUAGAUGCUUCAUUUCAAAAAACUUUAGGGAACUCACAUACCCUCUCUUUCAAUGACUAAAACGGGUU